RNAcentral lists this ribosomal RNA (350 nucleotides) under uncultured marine eukaryote. RNAcentral's name for it is "SSU rRNA". It matches the Rfam family "Eukaryotic small subunit ribosomal RNA", at positions 618 to 979 of the family's 1831-position model. The record is from RNAcentral.
GUUAAAAAGCUCGUAGUUGGAUUUCUGGGAGGGUGCUAAUGCCCGCCGUAGCGCGCGCGCAGCAGCGCCCUUCCAUCCCUCUGUUAACGCCUCUUGGCAUUCAUUUGCUGGUGGCGGGCUCAGAUAUUUUACCUUGAGAAAAUUAGAGUGUUUCAGGCAGGCUAGGCCGGAAUAUAUUAGCAUGGAAUAAUGGAAUAGGACUAUGGUCUCUUUGUUGGUUUGAGGGACUGCAGUAAUGAUUAAUAGGGAUAGUUGGGGGCAUUAGUAUUUAAUUGUCAGAGGUGGAAUUCUCAGAUUUGUUAAAGACUAACCUAUGCGAAAGCAUUUGCCAAGGAUGUUUUCAUUAAUCA